ACAGGCAUGCGCCACCACACCUGGCUAAUUUUUGUAUUUUUUGUAGAGACGGGGUUUCACCAUGUUGGCCAGGCUGGUCUGGAACUCCUGACCUGAAGUGAUCUGCCCACCUCGGCUUCCCAAAGUGCUGGGAUUGCAGGUGUGAGCCACUGCGCCUGGCCCCUUCAGGUGGGUUUUGAGGCCACGUUGCUGCUGCAAUAAAUUACCACACACUUAGUGGCUUAAAACAGCACAGAGGUAUUCCCUUACAUUUCUGAAGGCCAGAAUUCUAAAAUCAGUCCCACUGAGUCAAGGUGGGAGCAGGGUCAGUGCCUUCCCAGGCUCUGCGGGAGAAUGUUUCCUGGCCCUGGAGGCGGCCUGUACUCCUUAGCUUGUGCUACCCUUCUGGAAUGACUCGAGUUUCCUGCUUUCAUCACUACACCUCCCACCGCUCUCCAUCACCUGCUGUGCUCUUACAAGGAUCCAGAGAAAUGGAAUUAUUGUAUUGCUGAUCUACGUAAACAAGUUGAAGAAUUGUCUGAAAGAAAAUAUGGUGUGUCUAAACUGGAAAAGUCCUGUGAUAGUUUGUUCAUGAGCAUUUACACAAUGGAGUUACUGUUCAUCAUGGGGGUACUGUGGACCAGCCCAGGGCUGCUGACAUAAUCUUAUGAAUUCAACACAUGAAGAUUUACAACUUGAUAAACCAGCUUCAGGAGAUCAGAACUUCUUACAAUACAACUGAUGUUACUCAGCCUAGAACAAAUACAACAGGGAUUGUACUGCAUUCUGACUUAGGUUCUGCCAUCGAACACAGAAUGCCCUGAUCCUUAGAGGCAGAGGCAGCUCCUCAGCCUAUGGGCAGGAAGAAGAUGAGCCUUAAGUCUGAACACUGAGGAAUUCAUGUGCAUCAGUCAGACCUCCUGUGCAAGAAAGGAUGUGGUUACUAUGGCAACCCUGCCUGGCAGGGUUUCUGCUCCAAGUGCUGGAGGGAAGAGUACCACAAAGCCAGGCAGAAGGAGAUUCAGGAGGACUGGGAGCUGGCGGAGCGACUCCAGCGGGAGGAAGAAGAGGCCUUUGCCAGCAGUCAGAGCAGCCAAGGGGCCCAAUCCCUCACAUUCUCCAAGUUUGAAGGAAAGAAAACCAACGAGAAGACCCACAAGGUUACCACAGUGAAGAAAUCUUCAGUGCGUCUUCCAGGGUCGGAUCAAAGAAGGAAAUUCAGGAAGCAAAAGCCAGUCCUUCUAUAAACUGGCGAACCAGCAUUGAAACGGAUAGAGUGUCUAAGGAGUUCAUAGAAUUUCUCAAGACCUUCCACAAGACAGGCCAAGAAAUCUAUAAACAGACCAAGCUGUUUUUGGAAGGGAUGCAUUACAAAAGGUGCCUCCAGAAAGGGUUGAGAAGAUAAUGGAUCAGAUUGAAAAGUACAUCAUGACUCAUCUCUGUAAAUAUGCGUUCUGUCCAGAACCCCAGUGAGCCUGGAAGACUGGGUGCUAUGGGAAAUGUCAUCAAUCCAAUGCUAGUGAAAGAUGUGACUGGGGAAUGCUGAAAAACGCGCACCCCUGGGAGGAAUGAGGAAAGAUGACAUCCACUGACUUGUUAUUUUUUUGAGAAGGAGUCUUGCUCUGUUGCCCAGACUGGAGUGUGGUGGCACGAUCUCGGCUCACUGAUGAUGAGAAGAAAGAUCUUGCCAUUCAAAAGAGGAUCAGAGUGGAAGCUUCUCUGUGGUGUCAGAAAGAUGAGGAAUGUGGUGACCUCACCUAUCCAUCUCCCUCAAGGCAGCUUUUGCUUAAGUUCUUGGACUCACUGAGGCAGUAAAAGAACCAUAUCCUGUGUUUGAAUCAAAUCCCAAGUUCCUGUGUGUAGAAGGUUUGCCAGACAGGAUUCCCUUUCGAAGCCCUCCUGGUUUGGAAUUCCAUGACUUGAAAGGAUCGUCCAUGGGAGUAAUAAAAUCAAAUUUGUUGGUAAAAAGUAAGUUUUAGGCCAGGCGUAGUGGCUCAUGUCUGUAAUCUCAGCACUUUGUGAGGCUGAGGUGGGCAGAUCACCUGAGGUCCGGAGUUCGAGACCAGCCUGGCAAGCAUGGCAAAACCCCGUAUCCACUAAAAAUACAAAGAAUUAGCCGGGCAUGUUGGCGGGCACCUGUGAUCCCAGCUACUUGGGAGGCUGAAGCAGGAGAAUCACUUGAACCUGGGAGGCAGAGGCUGCAGUGAGCCGAGAUCACAACACUGCACUCCAGCCUGGGUGACAGAGCGAGACUCUGCCUCAACAACAACAACAACAACAAUAAAAAAACCUGAACUGGUUAUUUCCUACUUGCCUCCUGGAGUUGCUAAUAAAAUAAACACUAAAGCUUCGCAGUUUCUAAAAAGACUAUGAAGCCCUGAGAGUAAUGAAAAGGUUCCUGAAAUUGAGGUCACUGUGGAAGGACCUCACAAUGACUCACGCUACCACUUUCUGUUGAUUGUGAUGAAAUGCCAGCUGAGGCACAUGCCUUGGGAGCUAAGUGGCUGCUGCACUUGACCACUAUGAAGACUGGUGUGGGAAGAAUCCUUUUGGAUGCACUUGCAGGGGCCCCUAAUCCCUGGGUCACAGGCCUGUAAUGGGCUACAUGGCAGGAGCCUCAGCCAAGAUGUCUCACCCCACUCUCUCUGAUGCAACAAGAAGCCCCUGGAGAACGUUUCAGUCCCAUUUUGUACUUCUGUCAUGUGCUCAUCACAGUCUGGUGGAUUUAAAUGACCUCUUAUCAAGAUGGAUAAACCCAAGUUUCCCAGUGCUGGAAUAUAGAAAAUGGAUGGACAACUGGAUCUACCAUGAAAGACUUCAGAGUCCAGGAAGAGAGACUGAUUGGGCAACAUGUUAUUCAGUUACAAAAAGACUUGGACUAUGACUCAAAAAUGAUCAAAUAAUAGUGCAUGCAUCCAAUGCAAUAAGAAGCACUUCUGGAGGGUAGGUGCCACAGUUAUCCCCAUUUUGUGAAUGAAGUGAUGAAGACUUAGGAAUGAUGAGUGAUUGCCCAAGCUCACCUGGAUAUUAAGAGGUCUUGCUCUGUUGUCCAGGCUGGAAUGUGGUAGUGCUAUCACAGCUGACUGUAUCCUCGACCUCUCAGGCUCAAGCAGUCCUCCCACCUCAGCCUCCCAGGUGGCUGAGACUGUAUGUGCUUGCCACAAUGCCCAACUAAUAUUUGGACUUUUCCUAUACAUGGGUUCCAAAGGGCUGACUGCGAAAUGUGAGUAUGCAUGGAUUUUGGUAUAUGCAGAGAUGGGGGGCUGGAACGAAUCCUCUCUGUAUGCCGAGGGAUGACCGUAUAUGUUUUUACAGUUAUACUGUAGGAUACAUAUUGUUCCAUAGCCUUGAAAAUGAUGAUUUUUAAUGACAAAUAAUUUUGAAUUUAGUGGUAUAAUAUAAAAGUAGCAGCUGAUCUGGUGUGGUGGCUCAUGCCGGUAAUCACAACACUUUGGGAGUCUGAAGUAGGAGGAUGGCUCAAGGCCAAGAGUUUGAGACAGGCCUCAGAAAUCAAGGGAGUCACCAUCCCUACAGAAAUAUACAUGAAUUAGCCUAGUGUGAUGGCAUGUUCCUGUAGUCCCAGCUACUUGGGAGGCUGAGGUGGGAGGAUCACUUGAGCCCAGGGAGGCUUAGACUGCAGUGAGUCAUGAUCAGGACUCUGCACUCCAGUCUGAGUGACAGAGUGACCCUGUCUCAAAACAACAAAAAGUAGUAGCUAACAUUAACUGACCUUCUACCAGGUGCCUAUACAUACCAUAGAUAGUUUAAUUUCUUAUAACUGUUUCUUAUUUCGCUUAACCACUCUGUCUUCAGUUACUCCCAGAUUUUCACUGUGUUUGUGAAGAUGACUUUUUGUUUAGGUUCAGUUGUCUUCGAAGGUAUUUCCAGAAGAAAGAUUACUGUGAGUCAUGGUGAAUAGACAUUCUCAUUGUCCUUGAUGUAAAUUGACAAGGUUUUGGGUGCCUCCCAGGUAUAAUCCCAGCACUUUGGGAGGCCAAGGCAGGAGGAUUGCUUGACCCCAGGACUUGGAGGAGACAGUAUGGUGAGACAGUGUCUCUAUUAUUAAAAAAAAUUGCCGGUCAGAUGUGGUGGCUCACGCCUUGUAAUCCCAACACUUUGGGAGGCUGAGGUGGGUGGAUCACCUGAGUUCUGGAGUGCAAUACCAGUCUGACCAACAUGGAGAAACCCCGUCUCUACUAAAAAUACAAAAUCAGCUGGGUGUGGUGGCACACACAUGUGAUCCCAGCUACUCAGAGGCUGAGGCAGGAGAAUCACUUGAACCCAGGAGGUGGAGGUUGCAGUGAGCCGAGAUCACACCAUUGCACUCCAGCCUGGGCAAUGAGAAUGAAACUCCAUCUCAAAAAAUAAAUAAAUAAAUAAAAAAUUGGAAGCUUUACCCUGAAAGGCUUAUAUACAGUUUAAACACACCUUAUUGUAUAAGAAAGUGCCCAUUUCACUGCAUCUUUGCCAGCACAGGGUAUUAUAAUUUAAUAAGUUAUUUUUUGUUUGAUGAUUUUAAAUGGAUGAAAGCCGUCAUAUUACUUUGUCACAUUUCAGCAUCUUUCCUUAUACCUUAUUAACCCUAUUUCUUUUCUGUCUGUAAAUUGUUGUUGUUGUUGUUUUGUUCUUUGAGACAGGGUCUUGCUCUGUCACCCAGGCUUGACUAUAGUGCCAUAAUCAUGACUCACUGCAGCCUUGACCUCACAGGCUCAAACUACCCUCCCACUUCAGCUUCCCAAGUAGCUGGGAUUAUGAGUAUGCACCACCACAACCAGCUAAUAUUUUUCUUUUUUUGGAUAGAGACAGGGUCUCACUGUGUUGCCCAGGCCGGUCUCUAGCUCCUGGCCUCAAGCAAUCCUCCUGCGUUGGCUUCUUAAAAUGCUGGCAUGAGCCACGAUGCCUGACUUUGGCUAGUCCUAUAUUCUCUAGAAUUCUCUUUACUUUGUGCUAGCCAAUUUCUCAUUAUGCUGUUCCCCUGUUAUAAUGAAUAAUUGUCUGUAUUAAAUUUUAGGACUUUGGACUUUUGAGUGGUUUAUGUCUCCUGAUUGGACCCUGACUAAUACAGAGUUGAUGCUGGGAAGGGCCCCAGGAGACAGACCCACACAGAUGGGAUUUGGGCAUAGGUUUGGUUAUCCAAGGGGCUGUGCUGAGCUCCUUGCCAAUGGGACAUGGGAUGCUGUUGAUUUCCAGGAAGUGACCUCACAAUGACUCAAGCUACCACUUAUUGUUGAUUGUGAUGAAAUGCCAGCUGUGGCACAUGCCUUGGGUGCUAAGUGGCUGCUGCACUUGACCACUAUAAAGACUGGUGUGGGAAGGGUCCUCUUGGAUGUACUUGAGCAGGGUCCCCAACGCCAGAGCCAUGACCAAGGCCUCUCCUGGCCGAGCUGUGGCCUCACGUUGGCCUCCCCAGGCCAUGUUUCCACUUGCCUCGCGGCAGCCUUGGCAAGCCCAGCUCCUGCCUGCCGAGGGCCUCUUAAAGAGGCUCAUCUCGUGCCUCGCCGUGGCCUCCCCAGGCCAUUCUCCCACCUUUCGGCAGCCUCUGCAGGCCCAGCUCCUGCAUCCCGAUGGCCUUUUUGGGCCUGGCUUUGCCUCACCGCGGCCUCUUGAGGCGCAGCUUUUCCCUUCUGGCGACAUCUCCAGGCCCAGAACUUCCUCAAAUCGGCCUCCCCCGGCCCAGUUGCUGCCUGCCGGCUUCCUCUCCGGGCCCCGCUAUUUGCUCAUGGCUGCGCCCACAGGCCCAGCUCCUGCCUCCGAACAGCCUCCUUUGACUUGGCUCCUGCCCAGCUCCCGGCAACCUACAUCGGCCCAAAGCCUGCUCCAGUCCAGCUCUCCAGGCCCGCCUCUUGCCUCACAGCGGCCUUUCCAGGCCCAGAUCUCGCCUCACGGCGGCCUUCCACGACCGGGCUCGUGCCGGCCUCCGGGCAGCCUCCACAAGCCCAGCUCCUGCCUCACGCUGGUCCCUGUAGGCCCAGCUUGUGCCUCGCGGUGGCCUCUCCAGACCCAGCUCCCGCCCACCCCGACGGUGUCUCCCGGCCCAAAGCUCCCUUACUGAACGAUGACCCCUCUAGACCCAGCUCCUGCCUGCUGCUGAUGGCCUCUGCGGGCCCACCCAAAGCAUCCUGAAGUUGGCUUCACCAGGCCCAGCUCCUGCCUGUUGUAGGCCUCUAGGGGCACGGCCUCUGCCCCACACCAGCACCCCCGGAACCAGCUCUUGCCUCAUCCUAGCCACAUCAGGCCAAGCUCCUGCCUUUUGGUGGUCUAUCCAUACCUGGCUCUUGACUGCUGGCAUCCUUUCCAGGCCCGGAACUGUUUCCAGUGGCCCUCUCCAGGCCCGACUCUCCAUCCGGGCCGCGUCCAGUGGUCCAACCCCUGCCUAACGACAACCACGUUCGGACCAGCUCCUGCCCAGCUCCUGGUAGCCUUUGUAGGCCCCAGGCUCCUCGAAGUGAGGCCUCCCAGGCCCUGCCUUCGGCUCCCCGACGGCCUGGAGAAGCCCAAAUCCUGCCUGACAGCGGCCUCUCUGGGCCCCGCUCUUACCUCAUGUCGGCCUCCCCGGGCCACAUUGCUGCCUGUCUCGCGGCAGCCCAGACAGGCCCCGCUCAUGCCUCCCAACGGCCUUUUGGGCUCAUCUCAUGCCUCACCGUGGCCUCCCCUAGGCCAGGCUCCUGCCUUUUGGUGGCCUCUGCAGGCCCAGCUCCUGUGCCCCGAAGGCCUCUUUAGGCCCGGCUCGUCCCUCUGAACGGCCUCUUUCAGAGGCCCGGCUUUUCCCUCGUGGUGGCCUCUGCGGGCCCAAGUCGGCAAGCCGCCACCACGGCCCGGUGGCUGCCUCCCGGCCUCCUCUCCAGGCCCGGCGCGCUCUCGCGGCUGCGCCUCCAUGCCCAGCCCCCGACUACAGACAGCCGCUUCUGACUCGGCUCAUGCCGAGCUCCCGGCGGCCUUUGUAGGCCCGAAACCUCCUCCAGCCCAGCUCUCCAGGCCCACCUGUGGCCUCGCAGCGGCCUCCCCGGGCCCAGCUCUUGCCUCACGGAGGCCUUACCCGGCCGUGUUCCUGCCAGCCUCCCGGUGGCCUUGACAAGCCCAGCGCCUGCCUCACACUGGGCUCUGGAGGCCCAGCUCAAGCCUCACGGUGGCCUCUCCAGGCCCAGCUCCCGCCCGCCCCGACGGCAUCUCCCGUCCAAGGGUUUCUCAAGUGGGCCCCUCCAGGGCCCAGCUCCUGCCCCCCCGCCGAUGUCCUGUGCGGGCCCAAAGCGUCCUGAAGUCGGCCUCGCCAAGCCCAGCUCCUGCCUGUCGUAGGCCCCUGGACUAGAGGCACGGCCUCUGCCUCCUCAUAGUGGACCCCCGCCAGGCCCAGCUCUUGCCUCAGCAUGGCCGCCUCAGGCCAGGCUCAUGUUCUGCCUGUGGGCAGCCUCCACGGGCCCAGCUCUCGCCUCUGGCCAUCCUCUCCAGGCCCAGAAGGGUUUCCAGCCAGCCUCUCCAGGCCCAGAACUGUUUCCAGCCAGCCUCUCCAGGCCCAGAACUGUUUCCAGCCAGCCUCUCCAGGCCCAGCUCUCCUUGCCGGCUGCGCGUGUCAGCCCAGCUCCUGCCUCGCAACAGCCACGUUCGGCCCAGCUCCUGCCCAGCUCCUGGCAGCCUUUGUAGGCCCCAGGCUCCUCGAAGUGAGGCCUCUCAGGCCCCGCCUUCGGCUCCCCGGCGGCCUGGAGAGGCGCAGCUCCUGCGUGACAGCGGCCUCUCCGGGCCCGGCUCUUGCCUCGCGUCGGUCUCCCCGGACCACGUUGCCGCCUGCCUCGCGGCAGCCCUGACAGACCCGGCUCCUGCCUCCCGACGGCCUCUUUGGGCUCAUCUCGUGCCUCACCGCGACCUCCCCCAGGCCAGGCUCCUGCCUUUCGGCGGCCUCCGCGGGCCCGGCUCCUGCGUCCCGACGGCCUCUUUAGGCCCGGCUCGUCCCUCGCAACGGUCUCUUUCAGAGGCCCGGCUUCUCCCUCGUGGUGGCCUCUGCAGGCCCAAGUCGGCAAGCCACCCCCACGGCCCGACGGCUGCCUCCCGGCCUCCUCUCCAGGCCCGGCGCUCUCUCGCGGCUGCGCCUCCAUGCCCAGCCCCCGACUGCAGACAGCCGCUUCUGACUCGGCUCAUGCCGAGCUCCCGGCGGCCUUUGUAGGCCCGAAACCUCCUCCAGCCCAGCUCUCCAGGCCCACCUGUGGCCUCGCAGCGGCCUCCCCGGGCCCAGCUCUUGCCUCACGGAGGCCUUACCCGGCCGUGUUCCUGCCAGCCUCCCGGUGGCCUUGACAAGCCCAGCGCCUGCCUCACACUGGGCUCUGGAGGCCCAGCUCAAGCCUCACGGUGGUCUCUCCAGGCCCAGCUCCCGCCCGCCCCGACGGCGUCUCCCGUCCAAGGGUUUCUCAAGUGGGCCCCUUCAGGGCCCAGCUCCUGCCCCCCCGCCGAUGGCCUGUGCGGGCCCAAAGUGUCCUGAAGUCAGCCUCGCCAAGCCCAGCUCCUGCCUGUCGUAGGCCCGUGGAGUAGAGGCACAGCCUCUGCCUCCUCAUAGUGGACCCCCGCCAGGCCCAGCUCUUGCCUCAGCAUGGCCGCCUCAGGCCAGGCUCAUGUUCUGCCUGUGGGCAGCCUCCACGGGCCCAGCUCUCGCCUCUGGCCAUCCUCUCCAGGCCCAGAAGGGUUUCCAGCCAGCCUCUCCAGGCCCAGAACUGUUUCCAGCCAGCCUCUCCAGGCCCAGAACUGUUUCCAGCCAGCCUCUCCAGGCCCAGCUCUCCUUGCCGGCUGCGCGUGUCAGCCCAGCUCCUGCCUCGCAACAGCCACGUUCGGCCCAGCUCCUGCCCAGCUCCUGGCAGCCUUUGUAGGCCCCAGGCUCCUCGAAGGAGGCCCCGCCUUCGGCUCUCCGGCGGCCUGGAGAGGCCCAGCUUUUGCCUGACAGCGGCCUCUCUGGGCCCGGCUCUUGCCUCGCGUCCGCCUCCUUGGGCCACGUUGCCGCCUGCCUCGCGGCAGUCCCGGCAGGCCCAGCUCCUGCCUCCCGACGGUCUCUUUGGGCUCAUCUCGUGCCUCACCGCGGCCUCCCCAGGCCAGGAUCCUGCCUUUCGGCGGCCUCCGCGGGCCCAGCCCCUGCGUCCCGAUGGCCUCUUUAGGCCCGGCUCGUCCCUCUGAACGGCCUCUUUCAGAGGCCCGGCUUUUCCCUCGUGGUGGCCUCUGCGGGCCCAAGUCGGCAAGCCGCCACCACGGCCCGGUGGCUGCCUCCCAGCCUACUCUCGAGGCCCAGCGCUCUCUCACGGCUGCGCCUCCACGCCCAGCCCCAGCCUGCAGACAGCCGCUUCUGACUCGGUUUGUGCCCAGAUCCCGGCGGCCUUCGUAGGCCUGAAACCUCCUCCAGCCCAGCUCUCCAGGCCCACCAGUGGCCUCGCAGCGGCCUCCCCGGGCCCAGCUCUUGCCUCAACGGAGGCCUUCCCCGUCCGUGUUCCUGCCGGCCUCCCGGCAGCCUCGACAAGCCCAGCGCCUGCCUCACACUGGGCUCUUGAGGCCCAGCUGACGCCUCGCGGUGGCCUCUCCAGGCCCAGCUCCCGCCUGCCCCAGCAGCAUCUCCCGGCCCAAGGCUAUUUCAGAUGGGCCCCUCUAGGGCCCAGCUGCUGCACCCCAACCAAUGGCCUGUGCGAACCCAAAGCGUCUUGAAGUUGGCCUCGCCAUGCCCAGCUCCUGCCUGUCGUAGGCCCCUGGACUUGAGGCACGGCCUCUGCCUCCUCACAGUGGACCCCCGCCAGGCCCAGCUCUUGCCUUAGUGUUUCUGCCUCAGGCCAGGCUCAUGUUCUGCCUGUGGGCAGCCUCCACGGGCCCAGCUCUCGCCUCUGGCCAUCCUCUCCAGGCCCAGAAGUGUUUCCAGCCAGCCUCUCCAGGCCCAGAACUGUUUCCAGCCAGCCUCUCCAGACCCAGCUCUCCCUCCCGGCUGCGCCUGCCGGCCCAGCUCCUGCCUCGCAACAGCCACGUUCGGCUCAGCUCCUGCCCAGCUCCUGGCAGCCUUUGUAGGCCCCAGGCUCCUCGAAGUGAGGCCUCUCAGGCCCCGCCUUCGGCUCCCCGGCGGCCUGGAGAGGCGCAGCUCCUGCGUGACAGCGGCCUCUCCGGGCCCGGCUCUUGCCUCGCGUCGGUCUCCCCGGACCACGUUGCCGCCUGCCUCGCGGCAGCCCUGACAGACCCGGCUCCUGCCUCCCGACGGCCUCUUUGGGCUCAUCUCGUGCCUCACCGCGACCUCCCCCAGGCCAGGCUCCUGCCUUUCGGCGGCCUCCGCGGGCCCGGCUCCUGCGUCCCGACGGCCUCUUUAGGCCCGGCUCGUCCCUCGCAACGGUCUCUUUCAGAGGCCCGGCUUCUCCCUCGUGGUGGCCUCUGCAGGCCCAAGUCGGCAAGCCACCCCCACGGCCCGACGGCUGCCUCCCGGCCUCCUCUCCAGGCCCGGCGCUCUCUCGCGGCUGCGCCUCCAUGCCCAGCCCCCGACUGCAGACAGCCGCUUCUGACUCGGCUCAUGCCGAGCUCCCGGUGGCCUUUGUAGGCCCGAAACCUCCUCCAGCCCAGCUCUCCAGGCCCACCUGUGGCCUCGCAGCGGCCUCCCCGGGCCCAGCUCUUGCCUCACGGAGGCCUUACCCGGCCGUGUUCCUGCCAGCCUCCCGGUGGCCUUGACAAGCCCAGCGCCUGCCUCACACUGGGCUCUGGAGGCCCAGCUCAAGCCUCACGGUGGCCUCUCCAGGCCCAGCUCCCGCCCGCCCCGACGGCGUCUCCCGUCCAAGGGUUUCUCAAGUGGGCCCCUUCAGGGCCCAGCUCCUGCCCCCCCGCCGAUGGCCUGUGCGGGCCCAAAGUGUCCUGAAGUCAGCCUCGCCAAGCCCAGCUCCUGCCUGUCGUAGGCCCGUGGAGUAGAGGCACAGCCUCUGCCUCCUCAUAGUGGACCCCCGCCAGGCCCAGCUCUUGCCUCAGCAUGGCCGCCUCAGGCCAGGCUCAUGUUCUGCCUGUGGGCAGCCUCCACGGGCCCAGCUCUCGCCUCUGGCCAUCCUCUCCAGGCCCAGAAGAGUUUCCAGCCAGCCUCUCCAGGCCCAGAACUGUUUCCAGCCAGCCUCUCCAGGCCCACAACUGUUUCCAGCCAGCCUCUCCAGGCCCAGCUCUCCUUGCCGGCUGCGCGUGUCAGCCCAGCUCCUGCCUCGCAACAGCCACGUUCGGCCCAGCUCCUGCCCAGCUCCUGGCAGCCUUUGUAGGCCCCAGGCUCCUCGAAGGAGGCCCCGCCUUCGGCUCUCCGGCGGCCUGGAGAGGCCCAGCUUUUGCCUGACAGCGGCCUCUCUGGGCCCGGCUCUUGCCUCGCGUCCGCCUCCUUGGGCCACGUUGCCGCCUGCCUCGCGGCAGCCCCGGCAGGCCCAGCUCCUGCCUCCCGACGGCCUCUUUGGGCUCAUCUCGUGCCUCACCGCGGCCUCCCCAGGCCAGGAUCCUGCCUUUCGGCGGCCUCCGCGGGCCCAGCCCCUGCGUCCCGAUGGCCUCUUUAGGCCCGGCUCGUCCCUCUGAACGGCCUCUUUCAGAGGCCCGGCUUUUCCCUCGUGGUGGCCUCUGCGGGCCCAAGUCGGCAAGCCGCCACCACGGCCCGGUGGCUGCCUCCCGGCCUACUCUCGAGGCCCAGCGCUCUCUCACGGCUGCGCCUCCACGCCCAGCCCCAGCCUGCAGACAGCCGCUUCUGACUCGGUUUGUGCCCAGAUCCCGGCGGCCUUCGUAGGCCCGAAACCUCCUCCAGCCCAGCUCUCCAGGCCCACCAGUGGCCUCGCAGCGGCCUCCCCGGGCCCAGCUCUUGCCUCAACGGAGGCCUUCCCCGUCCAUGUUCCUGCCGGCCUCCCGGCAGCCUCGACAAGCCCAGCGCCUGCCUCACACUGGGCUCUUGAGGCCCAGCUGACGCCUCGCGGUGGCCUCUCCAGGCCCAGCUCCCGCCUGCCCCAGCAGCAUCUCCCGGCCCAAGGCUAUUUCAGAUGGGCCCCUCUAGGGCCCAGCUGCUGCACCCCAACCAAUGGCCUGUGCGAACCCAAAGCGUCUUGAAGUUGGCCUCGCCAGGCCCAGCUCCUGCCUGUCGUAGGCCCCUGGACUUGAGGCACGGCCUCUGCCUCCUCACAGUGGACCCCCGCCAGGCCCAGCUCUUGCCUUAGCGUUUCUGCCUCAGGCCAGGCUCAUGUUCUGCCUGUGGGCAGCCUCCACGGGCCCAGCUCUCGCCUCUGGCCAUCCUCUCCAGGCCCAGAAGUGUUUCCAGCCAGCCUCUCCAGGCCCAGAACUGUUUCCAGCCAGCCUCUCCAGGCCCACAACUGUUUCCAGCCCGCCUCUCCAGGCCCAGCUCUCCUUGCCGGCUGCGCGUGUCAGCCCAGCUCCUGCCUCGCAACAGCCACGUUCGGCCCAGCUCCUGCCCAGCUCCUGGCAGCCUUUGUAGGCCCCAGGCUCCUCGAAGGAGGCCCUGCCUUCGGCUCUCCGGCGGCCUGGAGAGGCCCAGCUUUUGCCUGACAGCGGCCUCUCUGGGCCCGGCUCUUGCCUCGCGUCCGCCUCCUUGGGCCACGUUGCUGCCUGCCUCGCGGCAGCCCCGGCAGGCCCAGCUCCUGCCUCCCGACGGCCUCUUUGGGCUCAUCUCGUGCCUCACCGCGGCCUCCCCAGGCCAGGAUCCUGCCUUUCGGUGGCCUCCGCGGGCCCAGCCCCUGCGUCCCGAUGGCCUCUUUAGGCCCGGCUCGUCCCUCUGAACGGCCUCUUUCAGAGGCCCGGCUUUUCCCUCGUGGUGGCCUCUGCGGGCCCAAGUCGGCAAGCCGCCACCACGGCCCGGUGGCUGCCUCCCGGCCUACUCUCGAGGCCCAGCGCUCUCUCACGGCUGCGCCUCCACGCCCAGCCCCAGCCUGCAGACAGCCGCUUCUGACUCGGUUUGUGCCCAGAUCCCGGCGGCCUUCGUAGGCCCGAAACCUCCUCCAGCCCAGCUCUCCAGGCCCACCAGUGGCCUCGCAGCGGCCUCCCCGGGCCCAGCUCUUGCCUCAACGGAGGCCUUCCCCGUCCGUGUUCCUGCCGGCCUCCCGGCAACCUCGACAAGCCCAGCGCCUGCCUCACACUGGGUUCUUGAGGCCCAGCUGACGCCUCGCGGUGGCCUCUCCAGGCCCAGCUCCCGCCUGCCCCAGCAGCAUCUCCCGGCCCAAGGCUAUUUCAGAUGGGCCCCUCUAGGGCCCAGCUGCUGCACCCCAACCAAUGGCCUGUGCGAACCCAAAGCGUCUUGAAGUUGGCCUCGCCAGGCCCAGCUCCUGCCUGUCGUAGGCCCCUGGACUUGAGGCACGGCCUCUGCCUCCUCACAGUGGACCCCCGCCAGGCCCAGCUCUUGCCUUAGCGUUUCUGCCUCAGGCCAGGCUCAUGUUCUGCCUGUGGGCAGCCUCCACGGGCCCAGCUCUCGCCUCUGGCCAUCCUCUCCAGGCCCAGAAGUGUUUCCAGCCAGCCUCUCCAGGCCCAGAACUGUUUCCAGCCAGCCUCUCCAGACCCAGCUCUCCCCCCCGGCUGCGCCUGCCGGCCCAGCUCCUGCCUCGCAACAGCCACGUUCGGCUCAGCUCCUGCCCAGCUCCUGGCAGCCUUUGUAGGCCCCAGGCUCCUCGAAGUGAGGCCUCUCAGGCCCCGCCUUCGGCUCCCCGGCGGCCUGGAGAGGCGCAGCUCCUGCGUGACAGCGGCCUCUCCGGGCCCGGCUCUUGCCUCGCGUCGGUCUCCCCGGACCACGUUGCCGCCUGCCUCGCGGCAGCCCUGACAGACCCGGCUCCUGCCUCCCGACGGCCUCUUUGGGCUCAUCUCGUGCCUCACCGCGACCUCCCCCAGGCCAGGCUCCUGCCUUUCGGCGGCCUCCGCGGGCCCGGCUCCUGCGUCCCGACGGCCUCUUUAGGCCCGGCUCGUCCCUCGCAACGGUCUCUUUCAGAGGCCCGGCUUCUCCCUCGUGGUGGCCUCUGCAGGCCCAAGUCGGCAAGCCACCCCCACGGCCCGACGGCUGCCUCCCGGCCUCCUCUCCAGGCCCGGCGCUCUCUCGCGGCUGCGCCUCCAUGCCCAGCCCCCGACUGCAGACAGCCGCUUCUGACUCGGCUCAUGCCGAGCUCCCGGCGGCCUUUGUAGGCCCGAAACCUCCUCCAGCCCAGCUCUCCAGGCCCACCUGUGGCCUCGCAGCGGCCUCCCCGGGCCCAGCUCUUGCCUCACGGAGGCCUUACCCGGCCGUGUUCCUGCCAGCCUCCCGGUGGCCUUGACAAGCCCAGCGCCUGCCUCACACUGGGCUCUGGAGGCCCAGCUCAAGCCUCACGGUGGCCUCUCCAGGCCCAGCUCCCGCCCGCCCCGACGGCGUCUCCCGUCCAAGGGUUUCUCAAGUGGGCCCCUUCAGGGCCCAGCUCCUGCCCCCCCGCCGAUGGCCUGUGCGGGCCCAAAGUGUCCUGAAGUCAGCCUCGCCAAGCCCAGCUCCUGCCUGUCGUAGGCCCGUGGAGUAGAGGCACAGCCUCUGCCUCCUCAUAGUGGACCCCCGCCAGGCCCAGCUCUUGCCUCAGCAUGGCCGCCUCAGGCCAGGCUCAUGUUCUGCCUGUGGGCAGCCUCCACGGGCCCAGCUCUCGCCUCUGGCCAUCCUCUCCAGGCCCAGAAGGGUUUCCAGCCAGCCUCUCCAGGCCCAGAACUGUUUCCAGCCAGCCUCUCCAGGCCCAGAACUGUUUCCAGCCAGCCUCUCCAGGCCCAGCUCUCCUUGCCGGCUGCGCGUGUCAGCCCAGCUCCUGCCUCGCAACAGCCACGUUCGGCCCAGCUCCUGCCCAGCUCCUGGCAGCCUUUGUAGGCCCCAGGCUCCUCGAAGGAGGCCCCGCCUUCGGCUCUCCGGCGGCCUGGAGAGGCCCAGCUUUUGCCUGACAGCGGCCUCUCUGGGCCCGGCUCUUGCCUCGCGUCCGCCUCCUUGGGCCACGUUGCCGCCUGCCUCGCGGCAGCCCCGGCAGGCCCAGCUCCUGCCUCCCGACGGCCUCUUUGGGCUCAUCUCGUGCCUCACCGCAGCCUCCCCAGGCCAGGAUCCUGCCUUUCGGCGGCCUCCGCGGGCCCAGCCCCUGCGUCCCGAUGGCCUCUUUAGGCCCGGCUUGUCCCUCUGAACGGCCUCUUUCAGAGGCCCGGCUUUUCCCUCGUGGUGGCCUCUGCGGGCCCAAGUCGGCAAGCCGCCACCACGGCCCGGUGGCUGCCUCCCGGCCUACUCUCGAGGCCCAGCGCUCUCUCACGGCUGCGCCUCCACGCCCAGCCCCAGCCUGCAGACAGCCGCUUCUGACUCGGUUUGUGCCCAGAUCCCGGCGGCCUUCGUAGGCCCGAAACCUCCUCCAGCCCAGCUCUCCAGGCCCACCAGUGGCCUCGCAGCGGCCUCCCCGGGCCCAGCUCUUGCCUCAACGGAGGCCUUCCCCGUCCGUGUUCCUGCCAGCCUCCCGGCAGCCUCGACAAGCCCAGCGCCUGCCUCACACUGGGCUCUUGAGGCCCAGCUGACGCCUCGCGGUGGCCUCUCCAGGCCCAGCUCCCGCCUGCCCCAGCAGCAUCUCCCGGCCCAAGGCUAUUUCAGAUGGGCCCCUCUAGGGCCCAGCUGCUGCACCCCAACCAAUGGCCUGUGCGAACCCAAAGCGUCUUGAAGUUGGCCUCGCCAGGCCCAGCUCCUGCCUGUCGUAGGCCCCUGGACUUGAGGCACGGCCUCUGCCUCCUCACAGUGGACCCCCGCCAGGCCCAGCUCUUGCCUUAGCGUUUCUGCCUCAGGCCAGGCUCAUGUUCUGCCUGUGGGCAGCCUCCACGGGCCCAGCUCUCGCCUCUGGCCAUCCUCUCCAGGCCCAGAAGUGUUUCCAGCCAGCCUCUCCAGGCCCAGAACUGUUUCCAGCCAGCCUCUCCAGGCCCACAACUGUUUCCAGCCCGCCUCUCCAGGCCCAGCUCUCCUUGCCGGCUGCGCGUGUCAGCCCAGCUCCUGCCUCGCAACAGCCACGUUCGGCCCAGCUCCUGCCCAGCUCCUGGCAGCCUUUGUAGGCCCCAGGCUCCUCGAAGGAGGCCCUGCCUUCGGCUCUCCGGCGGCCUGGAGAGGCCCAGCUUUUGCCUGACAGCGGCCUCUCUGGGCCCGGCUCUUGCCUCGCGUCCGCCUCCUUGGGCCACGUUGCUGCCUGCCUCGCGGCAGCCCCGGCAGGCCCAGCUCCUGCCUCCCGACGGCCUCUUUGGGCUCAUCUCGUGCCUCACCGCGGCCUCCCCAGGCCAGGAUCCUGCCUUUCGGUGGCCUCCGCGGGCCCAGCCCCUGCGUCCCGAUGGCCUCUUUAGGCCCGGCUCGUCCCUCUGAACGGCCUCUUUCAGAGGCCCGGCUUUUCCCUCGUGGUGGCCUCUGCGGGCCCAAGUCGGCAAGCCGCCACCACGGCCCGGUGGCUGCCUCCCGGCCUACUCUCGAGGCCCAGCGCUCUCUCACGGCUGCGCCUCCACGCCCAGCCCCAGCCUGCAGACAGCCGCUUCUGACUCGGUUUGUGCCCAGAUCCCGGCGGCCUUCGUAGGCCCGAAACCUCCUCCAGCCCAGCUCUCCAGGCCCACCAGUGGCCUCGCAGCGGCCUCCCCGGGCCCAGCUCUUGCCUCAACGGAGGCCUUCCCCGUCCGUGUUCCUGCCGGCCUCCCGGCAACCUCGACAAGCCCAGCGCCUGCCUCACACUGGGUUCUUGAGGCCCAGCUGACGCCUCGCGGUGGCCUCUCCAGGCCCAGCUCCCGCCUGCCCCAGCAGCAUCUCCCGGCCCAAGGCUAUUUCAGAUGGGCCCCUCUAGGGCCCAGCUGCUGCACCCCAACCAAUGGCCUGUGCGAACCCAAAGCGUCUUGAAGUUGGCCUCGCCAGGCCCAGCUCCUGCCUGUCGUAGGCCCCUGGACUUGAGGCACGGCCUCUGCCUCCUCACAGUGGACCCCCGCCAGGCCCAGCUCUUGCCUUAGCGUUUCUGCCUCAGGCCAGGCUCAUGUUCUGCCUGUGGGCAGCCUCCACGGGCCCAGCUCUCGCCUCUGGCCAUCCUCUCCAGGCCCAGAAGUGUUUCCAGCCAGCCUCUCCAGGCCCAGAACUGUUUCCAGCCAGCCUCUCCAGACCCAGCUCUCCCCCCCGGCUGCGCCUGCCGGCCCAGCUCCUGCCUCGCAACAGCCACGUUCGGCUCAGCUCCUGCCCAGCUCCUGGCAGCCUUUGUAGGCCCCAGGCUCCUCGAAGUGAGGCCUCUCAGGCCCCGCCUUCGGCUCCCCGGCGGCCUGGAGAGGCGCAGCUCCUGCGUGACAGCGGCCUCUCCGGGCCCGGCUCUUGCCUCGCGUCGGUCUCCCCGGACCACGUUGCCGCCUGCCUCGCGGCAGCCCUGACAGACCCGGCUCCUGCCUCCCGACGGCCUCUUUGGGCUCAUCUCGUGCCUCACCGCGACCUCCCCCAGGCCAGGCUCCUGCCUUUCGGCGGCCUCCGCGGGCCCGGCUCCUGCGUCCCGACGGCCUCUUUAGGCCCGGCUCGUCCCUCGCAACGGUCUCUUUCAGAGGCCCGGCUUCUCCCUCGUGGUGGCCUCUGCAGGCCCAAGUCGGCAAGCCACCCCCACGGCCCGACGGCUGCCUCCCGGCCUCCUCUCCAGGCCCGGCGCUCUCUCGCGGCUGCGCCUCCAUGCCCAGCCCCCGACUGCAGACAGCCGCUUCUGACUCGGCUCAUGCCGAGCUCCCGGCGGCCUUUGUAGGCCCGAAACCUCCUCCAGCCCAGCUCUCCAGGCCCACCUGUGGCCUCGCAGCGGCCUCCCCGGGCCCAGCUCUUGCCUCACGGAGGCCUUACCCGGCCGUGUUCCUGCCAGCCUCCCGGUGGCCUUGACAAGCCCAGCGCCUGCCUCACACUGGGCUCUGGAGGCCCAGCUCAAGCCUCACGGUGGCCUCUCCAGGCCCAGCUCCCGCCCGCCCCGACGGCGUCUCCCGUCCAAGGGUUUCUCAAGUGGGCCCCUUCAGGGCCCAGCUCCUGCCCCCCCGCCGAUGGCCUGUGCGGGCCCAAAGUGUCCUGAAGUCAGCCUCGCCAAGCCCAGCUCCUGCCUGUCGUAGGCCCGUGGAGUAGAGGCACAGCCUCUGCCUCCUCAUAGUGGACCCCCGCCAGGCCCAGCUCUUGCCUCAGCAUGGCCGCCUCAGGCCAGGCUCAUGUUCUGCCUGUGGGCAGCCUCCACGGGCCCAGCUCUCGCCUCUGGCCAUCCUCUCCAGGCCCAGAAGGGUUUCCAGCCAGCCUCUCCAGGCCCAGAACUGUUUCCAGCCAGCCUCUCCAGGCCCAGAACUGUUUCCAGCCAGCCUCUCCAGGCCCAGCUCUCCUUGCCGGCUGCGCGUGUCAGCCCAGCUCCUGCCUCGCAACAGCCACGUUCGGCCCAGCUCCUGCCCAGCUCCUGGCAGCCUUUGUAGGCCCCAGGCUCCUCGAAGGAGGCCCCGCCUUCGGCUCUCCGGCGGCCUGGAGAGGCCCAGCUUUUGCCUGACAGCGGCCUCUCUGGGCCCGGCUCUUGCCUCGCGUCCGCCUCCUUGGGCCACGUUGCCGCCUGCCUCGCGGCAGCCCCGGCAGGCCCAGCUCCUGCCUCCCGACGGCCUCUUUGGGCUCAUCUCGUGCCUCACCGCAGCCUCCCCAGGCCAGGAUCCUGCCUUUCGGCGGCCUCCGCGGGCCCAGCCCCUGCGUCCCGAUGGCCUCUUUAGGCCCGGCUUGUCCCUCUGAACGGCCUCUUUCAGAGGCCCGGCUUUUCCCUCGUGGUGGCCUCUGCGGGCCCAAGUCGGCAAGCCGCCACCACGGCCCGGUGGCUGCCUCCCGGCCUACUCUCGAGGCCCAGCGCUCUCUCACGGCUGCGCCUCCACGCCCAGCCCCAGCCUGCAGACAGCCGCUUCUGACUCGGUUUGUGCCCAGAUCCCGGCGGCCUUCGUAGGCCCGAAACCUCCUCCAGCCCAGCUCUCCAGGCCCACCAGUGGCCUCGCAGCGGCCUCCCCGGGCCCAGCUCUUGCCUCAACGGAGGCCUUCCCCGUCCGUGUUCCUGCCAGCCUCCCGGCAGCCUCGACAAGCCCAGCGCCUGCCUCACACUGGGCUCUUGAGGCCCAGCUGACGCCUCGCGGUGGCCUCUCCAGGCCCAGCUCCCGCCUGCCCCAGCAGCAUCUCCCGGCCCAAGGCUAUUUCAGAUGGGCCCCUCUAGGGCCCAGCUGCUGCACCCCAACCAAUGGCCUGUGCGAACCCAAAGCGUCUUGAAGUUGGCCUCGCCAGGCCCAGCUCCUGCCUGUCGUAGGCCCCUGGACUUGAGGCACGGCCUCUGCCUCCUCACAGUGGACCCCCGCCAGGCCCAGCUCUUGCCUUAGCGUUUCUGCCUCAGGCCAGGCUCAUGUUCUGCCUGUGGGCAGCCUCCACGGGCCCAGCUCUCGCCUCUGGCCAUCCUCUCCAGGCCCAGAAGUGUUUCCAGCCAGCCUCUCCAGGCCCAGAACUGUUUCCAGCCAGCCUCUCCAGGCCCACAACUGUUUCCAGCCCGCCUCUCCAGGCCCAGCUCUCCUUGCCGGCUGCGCGUGUCAGCCCAGCUCCUGCCUCGCAACAGCCACGUUCGGCCCAGCUCCUGCCCAGCUCCUGGCAGCCUUUGUAGGCCCCAGGCUCCUCGAAGGAGGCCCUGCCUUCGGCUCUCCGGCGGCCUGGAGAGGCCCAGCUUUUGCCUGACAGCGGCCUCUCUGGGCCCGGCUCUUGCCUCGCGUCCGCCUCCUUGGGCCACGUUGCCGCCUGCCUCGCGGCAGCCCCGGCAGGCCCAGCUCCUGCCUCCCGACGGCCUCUUUGGGCUCAUCUCGUGCCUCACCGCGGCCUCCCCAGGCCAGGAUCCUGCCUUUCGGUGGCCUCCGCGGGCCCAGCCCCUGCGUCCCGAUGGCCUCUUUAGGCCCGGCUCGUCCCUCUGAACGGCCUCUUUCAGAGGCCCGGCUUUUCCCUCGUGGUGGCCUCUGCGGGCCCAAGUCGGCAAGCCGCCACCACGGCCCGGUGGCUGCCUCCCGGCCUACUCUCGAGGCCCAGCGCUCUCUCACGGCUGCGCCUCCACGCCCAGCCCCAGCCUGCAGACAGCCGCUUCUGACUCGGUUUGUGCCCAGAUCCCGGCGGCCUUCGUAGGCCCGAAACCUCCUCCAGCCCAGCUCUCCAGGCCCACCAGUGGCCUCGCAGCGGCCUCCCCGGGCCCAGCUCUUGCCUCAACGGAGGCCUUCCCCGUCCGUGUUCCUGCCGGCCUCCCGGCAACCUCGACAAGCCCAGCGCCUGCCUCACACUGGGUUCUUGAGGCCCAGCUGACGCCUCGCGGUGGCCUCUCCAGGCCCAGCUCCCGCCUGCCCCAGCAGCAUCUCCCGGCCCAAGGCUAUUUCAGAUGGGCCCCUCUAGGGCCCAGCUGCUGCACCCCAACCAAUGGCCUGUGCGAACCCAAAGCGUCUUGAAGUUGGCCUCGCCAGGCCCAGCUCCUGCCUGUCGUAGGCCCCUGGACUUGAGGCACGGCCUCUGCCUCCUCACAGUGGACCCCCGCCAGGCCCAGCUCUUGCCUUAGCGUUUCUGCCUCAGGCCAGGCUCAUGUUCUGCCUGUGGGCAGCCUCCACGGGCCCAGCUCUCGCCUCUGGCCAUCCUCUCCAGGCCCAGAAGUGUUUCCAGCCAGCCUCUCCAGGCCCAGAACUGUUUCCAGCCAGCCUCUCCAGACCCAGCUCUCCCUCCCGGCUGCGCCUGCCGGCCCAGCUCCUGCCUCGCAACAGCCACGUUCGGCUCAGCUCCUGCCCAGCUCCUGGCAGCCUUUGUAGGCCCCAGGCUCCUCGAAGUGAGGCCUCUCAGGCCCCGCCUUCGGCUCCCCGGCGGCCUGGAGAGGCGCAGCUCCUGCGUGACAGCGGCCUCUCCGGGCCCGGCUCUUGCCUCGCGUCGGUCUCCCCGGACCACGUUGCCGCCUGCCUCGCGGCAGCCCUGACAGACCCGGCUCCUGCCUCCCGACGGCCUCUUUGGGCUCAUCUCGUGCCUCACCGCGACCUCCCCCAGGCCAGGCUCCUGCCUUUCGGCGGCCUCCGCGGGCCCGGCUCCUGCGUCCCGACGGCCUCUUUAGGCCCGGCUCGUCCCUCGCAACGGUCUCUUUCAGAGGCCCGGCUUCUCCCUCGUGGUGGCCUCUGCAGGCCCAAGUCGGCAAGCCACCCCCACGGCCCGACGGCUGCCUCCCGGCCUCCUCUCCAGGCCCGGCGCUCUCUCGCGGCUGCGCCUCCAUGCCCAGCCCCCGACUGCAGACAGCCGCUUCUGACUCGGCUCAUGCCGAGCUCCCGGCGGCCUUUGUAGGCCCGAAACCUCCUCCAGCCCAGCUCCCCAGGCCCACCUGUGGCCUCGCAGCGGCCUCUCCGGGCCCAGCUCUUGCCUCACGGAGGCCUUACCCGGCCGUGUUCCUGCCAGCCUCCCGGUGGCGUUGACAAGCCCAGCGCCUGCCUCACAGUGGGCUCUGGAGGCCCAGCUCAAGCCUCAGGUGGCCUCUCCAGGCCCAGCUCCCGCCCGCCCCGACGGCGUCUCCCAUCCAAGGCUCUCAAGUGAGCCCCUUCAGGGCCCAGCUCCUGCCCCCCCGCCGAUGGCCUGUGCGGGCCCAAAGUGUCCUGAAGUCAGCCUCGCCAAGCCCAGCUCCUGCCUGUCGUAGGCCCGUGGAGUAGAGGCACAGCCUCUGCCUCCUCAUAGUGGACCCCCGCCAGGCCCAGCUCUUGCCUCAGCAUGGCCGCCUCAGGCCAGGCUCAUGUUCUGCCUGUGGGCAGCCUCCACGGGCCCAGCUCUCGCCUCUGGCCAUCCUCUCCAGGCCCAGAAGUGUUUCCAGCCAGCAUCUCGAGGCCCAGCUCUCCUUGCCGGCUGCGCCUGCCGGCCCAGGUCCUGCCUCGCAACAGCCACGUUCGGCCCAGCUCCUGCCCAGCUCCUGGCAGCCUUUGUAGGCCCCAGGCUCCUCGAAGUGAGGCCUCCCAGGCCCCGCCUUUGGCUCCCCGGUGGCCUGAAGAGUCCCAGCCGCUGCCUGAGAGCGGUCUCUCCGUGGGUGCCAGUAAUCCCAGCUGCUCGAGAGGCUAAGGCAGGAGAAUUUCUUGAUCCCGUGAGGCGGAGUGUACAAUGUUAAAAGUUUCCUUUUCAAAUUUUCCCUUCUUCAUAAUGAAUAAAUGAUAAGUUUUAGAAAUAAUUUCUUUUAAAAA
This is a long non-coding RNA of Gorilla gorilla gorilla (western lowland gorilla), 22146 nucleotides long. RefSeq lists it as uncharacterized. Lineage: Eukaryota; Metazoa; Chordata; Mammalia; Primates; Hominidae. The transcript is spliced from 19 exons. The record is from RefSeq and is a predicted model, not a curated record.